GGGGCCGAGCUCGAGGACGCAGAUAGCCGCGACAAAUUGCACGCCUUCGCGUUCGCCGAUAGUCAAUCGCUGUUUAUUACCAUUUGGCGCCGGUGCCACUGGUUACAUCAUUCAGUCUUCUUUUUCCACGCCUAUUCCCACGCGAUCUCCUAAUGUUCGCGUCGAUAAACUUUCACCCUUGUCAUGAAACGAAGGCGCGCUGAUCGGUAUCAGAAAAGCGUGAAACUCGUCUAAGAAGCGGCGUGGCACGGCGGGGCCACAUUAAAGAGGAAAGUCUGAUUGCGUCCCUCGUGCGUGCAUCGCGCGAAGAAAAUGAUCUCAUCUAAGAAUUCGCCACGGACCGCGAGCUCGAUGUGUGCGAGCGUGUGUGUUAAGAUAUAACAGAACUGGUAGAAGCAAGGCAACCGCUUCGAAGACUUGUUGCAUUGCAUUAUUAUGAUAUAAGACACGCGUGGCCUGCAUUAACCAUAAA
Molecule: unclassified non-coding RNA, 472 nt
Filed under: Bombus terrestris (buff-tailed bumblebee)
Lineage: Eukaryota; Metazoa; Arthropoda; Insecta; Hymenoptera; Apidae
Description: misc RNA ENSBTSG00005033107.1
Source: RNAcentral